UGUUAAAUGAGAAAAUAUUGAUAACAUUUCUUAAAUACUUAAUAUGUGUCAGAUACUGUUAGGAGUGCUUUGCUUAGUGUUUUUGUUGAAUCCUUGCUAUAACCCAGUGGGGUAGGUCUUCUUGAUAUAGGUUUACCUGUAAGAAAAUGGAGGCACCAUAAGGUUACAUAACUUGCUCAGGGUCACUCAGCUAACUAUUGGCAGAGCAGGGAUUUGAACCUGGGAGGUCUGGUUCCAGAGCCUACAGUCGUUAACUGCUGUCCUAUAUUAUCCCUGAAAUACAUGUAAAUUCCUUCUUCAUACCCUCUUCCUACUUGCAUUCUCCUCCCUGGUGGUAACUUUUUGAACCAUGGCCAAUACCACACUAUUGCAUCAGUGUGUAAUUUUAAUUUGAUCACUUUGGGUAGUUUUCCUUCAGAAACUGGAAAGCAGUCAGUGAGAUUCUACUCUUUACUGGCUAUAGUUAUGAAGGAGAAAGGGGGACAGGUGGAAGCAUACAGAGCCUAGCAAGAUGGUAACUGCUGAUGUUUGUCUUACUUUCCCCCCAACUGUUUUUUUAAAUGGAAUGUUGAAUCCAUCUGGAAUGUUGACAGGUCACAGAGGAGUUACUGAAGUCAGUAGUUCAAAGUACUAUUGAACGAUCAAAAUUUUUGCCUUUGCUUGACUACCUUGAAGUGUCGGGUGUAUUGGAGCUUCAGGUGUCAUUGAUCUGUCCAGAAAGAAAAGACUUUGUGGGAGUUUGUCCUCGGUCUUUAGUAACUGGAAUUUUAACAAACCAGUGAACAAAGGGACAUAGUGCCUUUUUUCCCAGAACCCCUAUUGGAUGACAGUGACUCACCAUUUAUUAUGAAUUUACUACAUGCCAGGCACUUUAUGUAGAGCAUCUAAUUUAACCCUGAGAACACCGCAAUGUUCUCCCUUCUUGGAUCCUCAAGAUGCCAACAGCAUUCCUAGGAGUCAGGUGUGUGGUGCUCAGAGACAGAAGAAGUGCCUUCUCUACCUUGUGGCUCUUUUUUAGAGGGAGGAAGCUUCCCAGAAGACUGUUUCUGCAGGUAGUCUUGGCAGGGGGCAGGAGACAGCCAGUCAGGCCUUAGACCAGUAGAUCAUUGCCUUGUGGCCUGGCCUGGAGGCCUGCAUGUGGAGGAGAGAGUGAAGCCCAGCAAAACUUAAGUUUUGUUAGAACAAGAGAGGGUGGAGGAAAUACGUGCUGUGAAUGUAAUCUGAUCUUGCCGAGGCUUGAGCUAGCAGAGGGCUACAGUUCAUAUCUUUUGCGUAUGUGAGUUUAAUUUAAAACAGAUGGGAGCUUAUAUCUUUACAGUAAUAGUUCUCUCUCUUUUAUAGAUUCUUUAUCCCUUUUAAGAAAAAGCAAACAAGCCAUAGAGUGUGUUAUUAAGGUAACUAGGGUGG
RNAcentral lists this long non-coding RNA (1407 nucleotides) under Mustela putorius furo (domestic ferret). RNAcentral's name for it is "lncRNA (ENSMPUG00000029212.1)". The record is from RNAcentral. Lineage: Eukaryota; Metazoa; Chordata; Mammalia; Carnivora; Mustelidae.